Molecule: non-coding RNA, 21 nt
Filed under: Caenorhabditis elegans
Lineage: Eukaryota; Metazoa; Nematoda; Chromadorea; Rhabditida; Rhabditidae
Source: RNAcentral
UUCAAAUCGGGUCAUAUCUUC